Molecule: ribosomal RNA, 475 nt
Filed under: uncultured bacterium
Lineage: Bacteria
Description: partial 16S ribosomal RNA
Rfam family: Bacterial small subunit ribosomal RNA
Source: RNAcentral
GAUGAACGCUAGCAGAACGCUUAACACAUGCAAGUCGAACGGAUGUAUUAUCUUCGGAUAAUAUGUUAGUGGCAAACGGGCGAGUAACGCGUAUCUAACCUGCCCUUGUGUGAGGCAAAACCAUGGAGACAUGGCUAAUUCCUCAUACGCUCUAAGAAAUGAAAAUACUUAGAGGAAAGAUUUAUCGCACAAGGAGGGGGAUGCGUCCUAUCAGGUAGUUGGUGAGGUAACGGCUCACCAAGCCUAUGACGGGUAGCCGGUCUGAGAGGAUGUCCGGCCGCAAUGGAACUGAGACACGGUCCAUACUCCUACGGGAGGCAGCAGUGGGGAAUAUUGCACAAUGGACGAAAGUCUGAUGCAGCAACGCCGCGUGGAGGAUGACACAUUUCGGUGCGUAAACUCCUUUUAUAUAGGAAGAUAAUGACGGUACUAUAUGAAUAAGCACCGGCUAACUCCGUGCCAGCAGCCGCGGUAA